Molecule: ribosomal RNA, 440 nt
Filed under: uncultured bacterium
Lineage: Bacteria
Description: partial 16S ribosomal RNA
Rfam family: Bacterial small subunit ribosomal RNA
Source: RNAcentral
CCUACGGGCGGCAGCAGUAGGGAAUAUUGCUCAAUGGGGGAAACCCUGAAGCAGCAACGCCGCGUGGAGGAUGAAGGUUUUCGGAUUGUAAAAUCCUUUUGUUAGAGAAGAUAAUGACGGUAUCUAACGAAUAAGCACCGGCUAACUCCGUGCCAGCAGCCGCGGUAAUACGGAGGGUGCAAGCGUUACUCGGAAUAACUGGGCGUAAAGAGGGCGUAGGCGGGAUAGCAAGUCAGAGGUGAAAUCCUAAGGCUUAACCAUAGAACUGCAUUUGAAACUGUUAUUCUAGAGUAUGGGAGAGGUAGGUGGAAUUCUUGGUGUAGGGGUAAAAUCCGUAGAGAUCAAGAGGAAUACUGAUUGCGAAGGCGACCUGCUAGAACAUAUCUGACGCUGAUGCGCGAAAGCGUGGGGAGCAAACAGGAUUAGAUACCCUAGUAGUC